Stegodyphus dumicola is the source of this 501-nucleotide long non-coding RNA. Lineage: Eukaryota; Metazoa; Arthropoda; Arachnida; Araneae; Eresidae. The record is from RefSeq and is a predicted model, not a curated record.
CUUAAUAACCUGUGAAUUUUUCAGUUCUAAAGACACCUACAUAAAACUUUGGGAUUUAGAUACUCAACAUUGUUUUCAGACCAUUGUUGGAACUCGGCAUGAGAUUUUGGAUUUUGUGAUUAUUAAAGGUACAAGAUUAAUAACUGGAAUAAAUGGAGAACAUUUAAAUGUCUGGGAUUUGCUUCUCUCUGAGAAGGAGUCAUCAAAUUUAAAUAGAAGCAAAAGAAUUCGUCUUGAAGUCCCCAGUGAUGAAGAUGAUUCUGAGGCAGAUAAUUUGCGUAGAGAUGAAAGUGAAGAUAAAAAUGAAGAUGCCACUUAUGUUGAAGUUGGUAAACUUGCAACUCUUGGAAAUAAAACAACUUUUCUAUUUGUUGACAAGACAGAAAGACUUCUAGGUUGUCAUGCAUCAACUAAAGUUCUGCAGUUGUUUAAAAUAUUAAACAGUAAGGAAAGAGCAAAGAAGUUUCGUAAAAGGCAGAAAAAGGAAUUGAAAGAGCGAAG